Amphimedon queenslandica is the source of this 421-nucleotide long non-coding RNA. RefSeq lists it as uncharacterized. The transcript has 4 exons. NCBI's taxonomy places the organism in Eukaryota, Metazoa, Porifera, Demospongiae, Haplosclerida, Niphatidae. The record is from RefSeq and is a predicted model, not a curated record.
AAGGAGGUGAAUUUAAUGAUGUAUCAUCUUUUGCUCUAGGCACUUCUGGGCCAGUUAUUAACAUUACGUUAAAUAAUAUUACCUGUGACACUAUCACUGUCACUUGGAAUAGUCCUAAGUGUACAUAUAUCCUCUGUGAUAUAUUGUAUUACGAAUUGAAUAUUAAUGACGUUUUAUCGAAUACCAGCAAUACUCAUUAUGAAUUUAAAGAGAAGAAUGUGGACCAUCACAGUUAUGACAUCAGUGUCACUCCAGUUAAUCUACUUGGAAAAGGAAUACCUAACAAUACUACAUGUUUUAAUUAUAAAGUUCCUAGGCCUGCACUAAAUGACACUACUACACUUAAUGUAUCUAAUGGGACUGUUCAGUACAAUAUACUAGUUUUAGUAGUAUGUAAUGGUGAAGCUCCAAAGAAUGCUAU